UUCUACGACAUCUAUAUAACCUUGCAGUAAAAGGCGCACCAGUGUAAAGGAUCUGGUCUAUAUUUGCGUUUGCUUCAGACCAAAAUGUUUCAUAUUAAGAAGUCAUUAACUUGACUGCAGUUACUCUUUCUCCUGCAUG
Molecule: long non-coding RNA, 139 nt
Organism: Homo sapiens (human)
Lineage: Eukaryota; Metazoa; Chordata; Mammalia; Primates; Hominidae
Exons: 3
Source: RefSeq, a predicted model, not a curated record